CUGGCGGCAGGCCUAACACAUGCAAGUCGAGCGCAGUCCUUCGGGACCGAGCGGCGGACGGGUUAGUAACGCGUGGGAAUAUGCCCUUCACUACGGAAUAGCCUCGGGAAACUGAGAGUAAUACCGUAUACGCCCUUCGGGGGAAAGAUUUAUCGGUGAAGGAUUAGCCCGCGUAAGAUUAGAUAGUUGGUGGGGUAAUGGCCUACCAAGUCUACGAUCUUUAGCUGGUUUUAGAGGAUGAUCAGCAACACUGGGACUGAGACACGGCCCAGACUCCUACGGGAGGCAGCAGUGGGGAAUCUUGGACAAUGGGCGCAAGCCUGAUCCAGCCAUGCCGCGUGUGUGAUGAAGGCCUUAGGGUCGUAAAGCACUUUCGCCAGAGAUGAUAAUGACAGUAUCUGGUAAAGAAACCCCGG
This 416-nucleotide ribosomal RNA is filed under the name uncultured Alphaproteobacteria bacterium. RNAcentral's name for it is "bacterial SSU rRNA". It matches the Rfam family "Bacterial small subunit ribosomal RNA", at positions 36 to 496 of the family's 1533-position model. Lineage: Bacteria; Pseudomonadati; Pseudomonadota; Alphaproteobacteria. The record is from RNAcentral.